Molecule: ribosomal RNA, 253 nt
Filed under: uncultured bacterium
Lineage: Bacteria
Description: partial 16S ribosomal RNA
Rfam family: Bacterial small subunit ribosomal RNA
Source: RNAcentral
GACGAACCGUGCAAACGUUGUUCGGAAUCACUGGGCUUAAAGGGCGCGUAGGCGGGUUCGUAAGUCUGUGGUGAAAGCCCCCAGCUUAACUGGGGAAGUGCCAUGGAUACUGCGAGUCUUGAGGAGGGUAGGGGCAUCUGGAACACUGGGUGGAGCGGUGAAAUGCGUUGAUAUCCAGUGGAACUCCGGUGGCGAAGGCAGGUCUCUGGGCCACUACUGACGCUGAGAGGCGAAAGCAUGGGGAGCGAACAGG